CAUCUCCCACCUUACAUUGCUUCAAGUACAGGAAGGGAAAGGCUCCAAAACUGUAAAGAUCUUCUUCAGCAGAAGAGUGACAGAGGAGCAGCUUAGGUACCCCCCUCCCAUGACAGCUAUGGAAAGCAAGGAGCUGAACCUUGAGGAAGCCCAUCAAGAUCACAAGUCAUUGUUAAAUAAUAUUUAUUUUGAAAAAGAAAAAAAAGGACCUUAGCAUUGUAAGCUGUAACUGCCUCCUUGGAAAUAGGAGAAAUGCUGAAAUCCAAAGCACAGCAAAGCUGAGGGUUGUAGACUUGCUACCUUCAACUGUUUUUGAAUUAAACUGCCUGGUGAUCCCAAUCAUAAUAUCUACAACCACCGUUCAGGGGAAAAUCAGAACAAAUGAAGUCAGACCAUUUACAGCAAUUCAGAACCCACAUAUGCUCAGACAUUUCCGUUCCAUCUCCACUUUUCUCCAGUGACAACAUUUGGGGUGAUUUCUUAAGAUCUCUACCUACAGCACUGGUACAAGUUCCACAAUGAUGUCAUUGGCACUGAACAGCCAACGGAAAUGAGCAGUUAAUUAUCUUAUAAAAGAAAUUUUGUCUUCAGUAGAGCUGCUUGAUUUAUCCAACAAAAUUGAAAAAAGAGAAAAAAUACAUUCUCAUAUCACUAGGCCGGGGUUGCUAGUACAAGCUAAAGUGAUCAAGGCCAGUAACAUGACUGUCUUUGAAAGUAAACCAAUCCUCAUAAAAGCAUCACUUGUGCAUCUUUUUUUUUUUUUGUGCUCACUUCAGAAAUGAGCAAAAUUCAGAGGGGAAGGAACUAAUAGUAUCUAAUCCUGUGUCCCCCUUUUUUUUCCUUUAUGUUCAUUUUCCAGCAGGGGAAGCAAGCUGACCAAGGGGCUAACAGGAUACAAGUUCCUUGCUCUAAAUUCUGGGAAAGGAGUUAAGUGAGUGAGAUGUCACUACCCUCUUCAUAUUCAACCACUGAGUGCUCUUGGGAUCACCUGUGGUCUGGACCAGUUUGUUUUUCAGUUUGUUUGUUUGCUAUAUUUGAAAAUAUAUGAAUGAGCAAGAAUUUAUUAUAAAGGCCAUACCUCAGGCUUUCUGCUAAAAUGUAAGUCAGCAGAAGACAAAAAGCUGUCUUAUUAUCACUUGUUUAAGACAGUGUAAGAAGUAAAUUGGAUUGUGGAAAAAAAAAACUCACGAAACUAACCUAAAUGGGUACUUUUUCCAUUGACUAUUGUAUUUCAUUGCCUUGUUUUUAAGUAAGUGAGCUCAAAGCAAUAUGUUUCCAGAAAGACCAGUCUGUCAGUACUGAUCAGUGAACACCCUAGGAGGUUCAUCUUUUGGUCACAUGAGAAAACAAACAAUAUCAUUAUGAUAAAGCUUCCUUGUAGGUCAAGGACAUAUAAAAGUACACUGACUAUAUAUUGCUGUAGACUGGUAACAAAAGCAAUCAUAGUAAUGACACAUGCAUUACUACCAAAUGCUGAAGACAAGAUGGAAGAGAUGGCAGGGUGUGUUUGUUGUGUUUCUCUGAAGGGGUAUAAUGAAGAUAACACAGGUUAAAAGGUGUUUCUCAAACUGUAAGAGUCAUACAUCUUUUAAGCAACAGACUAUCAAGUGUGCAACUCUUGAAAUAUGUGAGGAACAAAGCACAGUAUCAAAACUGCCAUUACUGUCCUGCUGCAUCAGCCAACUCGUAAAUCUAACAGCAAGAAGGAAACUAUUGCGAUCAGCUGAGGUCAGUAAGAGCUCCAUCAUUUGUUUAAAGAUGUACCUACCAAGUAGUAGGAGGAAAUUACUAACGCUAUUUGGAUCUAUUCACUAAUAAAAGACAGCAGUACUGAAAAGAAAUGAGGGUUGCACAGAGGACUGUGGAGUUUUAUCACUUCUUGGCAAGAGUUGUAUAUAUAUGUCAUAUAACGUGGUAGUAGCAGCUCAGCUGCCCAUUCUUCCAUUAGAUAAGGGCUAUACUUGCCUCUCUAUUGCACAGCCAGACUGCAUCCUAAAAGACUGCAUCCUAAAUGACUGCUCAGAUAGUUAUUUCUACCUGCUUUAUGGUCAGGGGCAACAAAUUCCCAGUGAUCAUACAAUGCAUGAGAAGUUUCAAAAGCAAUUUUUCUGUAGCACUGUUAAUUCUGUGGUACACAUGGAGCAAAACAUAGAUUAGAUUUCUAACAUGCAAUUUAUAAUAGCAGACAAAUAAUAAUCUUUUAUUUUCAAAGAUUUGAGAGCAAGCCAUACAAGAAUUAAAGGCUGAGCUGUGAAAGAAAAAUGUGUUUUGGAAUCCCUUCUUUAUUAGUUAAGCUAUCAUUGUUACUUUUCAAUUAUAGUACAAACGUGCAGCAUUCAUAAAGCAAAACAAUGCUGCAGAGUCUAUUGAUGGGAUUAGAUAUAAUGUGCCUCUAUUUAGGCCCAGUCCUUCAAGAUGUCAAGGUACCCCCAAGUCCCCCUGAAACUGUCUGACAUAGCAAAACGGAGGGGAUGAGAGAUGUCAGAACAGCACAAAUGAUCAGAUAAUUCUGCCUUGAACAAGUAUCUAGGUGUACUAUGACCCUAAACAGUUCCACAGUCAGCAGCUUAAAAUGACAGUGGGAGCUGAGAGCAUUCAGCAAUUGACAACAUCUCCACAUACAAAAUAUUCCACCCAGUGGUUUCCAAUGUAUGGGCCUCCAAAAAUAUUUGAAUGUUCUUUUUAAGAGAACCUUGAUAAGAGGAGAAUCUAUACAAGUAUACUGUUGUAUAACAUGUAGAUUUGCUUUCGACAGUAACUUUUCUUGAGCUUUUUGGCAGUGAUCUGCAAAUCCUCAAGAGUCUGGGGACCAUGGGCAGAGGAACAGCUGUCAAGAAGGUAUCACCAGCUGCUCACUACAAAGAGAUCCAGAGAGAACGAAGACUCUCAGAUGUGGUGUAGCCAAGCUGCUCUGCAGCUCCUGAAUGCUUUGGUACUGCAUAUUUGGGAAAAGAGGGGGCUUUAAAGGCUACAAAGAAACAUGUAGGAAGCUGCUAAUGGCUGAACAAACCCAGUGAAGUUACAGCUCCUGUUGUACUCCAAGAGCUCUUCAAGGUGCCCAACCCACACCCCUACACUGGCCUUUCUUUUAGUAACACCAACAAUAAUUAAUAAUAGAAAAAAUGACAUUUCUGCUGUGUUAUUUGGAGAGAGACAAGCUAAAGGGAUAGACUUGACCUUUUACAGGAACGAGAAAGAAGAGCAACAGUUGGAAAAGAGAAAUUCCUCGUCAAAAAUGCUGAGGAGGACAGGAGGUGGGAUGAGAAGUGAGAAGGAGUCCUCUGUUUCAGUAAUACUGCCUUGUUGAUCUUUCUUUCUUCCAUCAUGUGGUUUCUAUUUUCUUGUAUUAAUCCGUGCUUCCCCUCCCAACAUUUUUUCAUGUGCCUGCCAGUUUGAGGUCAACAAGUACUAAGAAUGGACUGAAAAGAAUUUCCAGGAUGUUUUUUGAGACUAUUAAUAUCUUCAGCAGCUAUUCAAGCAAACACGCUCCAUGUUCAUCGUACUUCAGUGCAUAAGCUCAGCGCUGGAGGAAGUUAAGAUCAGAGAUUCUUCAUGUUGCAUACUGUACAGACAGUCAGAUACACUGUGGAGUUUUUGAGAUAAGAUGGCACUUCCUGUGGGGCACUCAAAAAGAAAGAGACAAUUCUGUGCUGAUAAACAGGAACAGAUUUCAAAGGCAAAGAAAUUCCAGAAGCCACACUCAAUGAGGGAUUUUUAAGAGUUGCUACUUUCAACUCUUCCUAAUUUUAAGGCACCUGACCACGCGGCAGGCAUCCCUGAAGCCCUAAGCUGAGAGGUAUUCCUCAACAAUGCACAAGGAGGCUGACCUACCUCUUAGUGAGACCUGCAGAAGCCAGUCAGGCUGGGCGGACUGCCAAAAGCUAAGGAUAGAGGUGGCACUUAAGGAAAUGUGUAAUUAAGCUUUAUCAGUUCUUCACAGCGAAAGCCAAGAACAGUAUCCACCACCCCAGCAAUGUGGGGUGACUUGGCUGAGACUGGAAGGAGAAAGGUAGAGUAAAAUCCAUGAUGCUGUGAGAUACUCAAAGGAAAAGAAAUCCAAUCAGUGAGGUUCAGGACAAUUCACCUUGAAAUUACACCAAAGGCCUGCAUAGGGCAGUCAGCCAACAGGAUAAUUAGCUGUUCCUCAAACAUGGCAGAAUACCUGAGUUUUGUAUAUCCCAAUAUGGUCCUCUAAGCAGUAUGCUGGGCAAAAUGGGAAGACACAGUUGGCCUUAUUCCAAGUUGUAUUAUAUGUGAGGUACCUGGUAGGUAUGAUCUGAGUAUAUUUAAAAAAAGAAA
Long non-coding RNA from Gallus gallus (chicken), 4299 nucleotides. Lineage: Eukaryota; Metazoa; Chordata; Aves; Galliformes; Phasianidae. The record is from Ensembl.